Non-coding RNA from Hordeum vulgare subsp. vulgare (domesticated barley), 325 nucleotides. The record is from Rfam. Lineage: Eukaryota; Viridiplantae; Streptophyta; Magnoliopsida; Poales; Poaceae.
GAAGUUAUUACGGUGAGAAUCCAAUGCCCCGAAAACCCAAGGUUUCCUCCGCAAGGUUCGUCCACGGAGGGUGAGUCAGGGCCUAAGAUCAGGCCGAAAGGCGUAGUCGAUGGACAACAGGUCAAUAUUCCUGUACUACCCCUUGUUGGUACUGAGGGACGGAGGAGGCUAGGUUAGCCGAAAGAUGGUUAUAGGUUUAAGGACACAAGGUGACCCUGCUUUUUCAGGGUAAGAAGGGGUAGAGAAAAUGCCUCGAGCCGAGGUCCGAGUACCAAGCGCUGCAGCGCUGAAGUAUGAGACCCGUGGACUAGCAAUUGCUUCUCCA